Cebus imitator (Panamanian white-faced capuchin) is the source of this 469-nucleotide long non-coding RNA. RefSeq lists it as uncharacterized. The record is from RefSeq and is a predicted model, not a curated record. NCBI's taxonomy places the organism in Eukaryota, Metazoa, Chordata, Mammalia, Primates, Cebidae. The transcript has 2 exons.
UGGUCUCGAACUCCUGACCUUGUUGUAAUCCUCCCACCUCAGCCUCCCAAAAUGCUGGGAUUACAGGUGUGAGCCACCGUGCCCGGCCCUUGCCCUCUGAUUCUUGCUGAUGCGUUUAUUGCUUUCUGCCUGUCUGUGCUUUGCAGUUGGGGUGCUGUCAGUUACUUUCACCCACUCACGGAGAUAUCCCUGAGCCCGUCAGCACCAUGAGGGGCACCCCGAAGUGCUGACAGAGAAUGACCCACAAAACAGGAGGCAGGGUUCCCAGGCAGGGCACCCCUGGAAAAGAGGCCUGUCUCAGGGGGUGACGGCUGCAAGGGUCUGGAGAUGGACAACGCCGACCUGGACCUGCUUGCUUUGAAGACACGGGCCUUACGGACAACUAGACAAAAAAACCACCCCCAAAACAGAAGCCUCCCAUCUAACCAACACAAAGAAUUUAUUUUUUCUCAGAAGUCAAUAAAUCAAU